GACGAACGCUGGCGGCGUGCUUAACACAUGCAAGUCGAACGGAAAGGCCCUGCUUUUGUGGGGUGCUCGAGUGGCGAACGGGUGAGUAACACGUGAGUAACCUGCCCUUGACUUUGGGAUAACUUCAGGAAACUGGGGCUAAUACCGGAUAGGAGCUCCUGCUGCAUGGUGGGGGUUGGAAAGUUUCGGCGGUUGGGGAUGGACUCGCGGCUUAUCAGCUUGUUGGUGGGGUAGUGGCUUACCAAGGCUUUGACGGGUAGCCGGCCUGAGAGGGUGACCGGCCACAUUGGGACUGAGAUACGGCCCAGACUCCUACGGGAGGCAGCAGUGGGGAAUAUUGCACAAUAGGCGGAAGCCUGAUGCAGCAACGCCGCGUGCGGGAUAACGGCCUUCGGGUUGUAAACCGCUUUCGCCUGUGACGAAGCGUGAGUGACGGUAAUGGGUAAAGAAGCACCGGCUAACUACGUG
Molecule: ribosomal RNA, 468 nt
Filed under: uncultured bacterium
Lineage: Bacteria
Description: partial 16S ribosomal RNA
Rfam family: Bacterial small subunit ribosomal RNA
Source: RNAcentral